CAGGAUGUAUGAAAGACUCACAUAGCCCAAAGAAAAUCAUCAUAAUCAUGAGAGGAUGAAAUAAGUACAAUAACACAUGUGAGUCAUCAUAUAAUUUGUCAAUCACUUUUAGUUCAUCAAGAAUAUCAAUUCUCAUAAUGUAACUAUCAUUUAAAUCUUUCGAAAGAAUAACUUUCACAAUUCCACUUUCAAAUCACUUCACCAUUCACCAUAGACACAAGGAAACACACACACACUGGGAGAUCCUAUAACCGACAUAAACUAUGUGAGCUACAUGGAGUCCAACGUACA
Molecule: long non-coding RNA, 291 nt
Filed under: Capsicum annuum
Lineage: Eukaryota; Viridiplantae; Streptophyta; Magnoliopsida; Solanales; Solanaceae
Description: long non-coding RNA (CANN_LNC012548)
Source: RNAcentral